UUAUGGGUUCUAUGGGGGGUUGUGGGGUCUAUGGGGCCCACCUAUGGGGUCUAUGGGGCCCAGCCAUGGGGUCUAUGGGGCCACCUAUGGGUGCUAUGGGGGUCUAUGGGGUCUAUGGGGGGAUAUGGGGUCUAUGGGGCGAUAUGGGGUCUAUGGGGCCCACCCAUGGGGUCUAUGGGGCCACCAAUGGGUUCUAUGGGGGGAUAUGGGGUCUAUGAGGCUCACCCAUGGGUUCUAUGGGGGGAUAUGGGGUCUAUGGGGCCCACCCAUGGGUUCUAUGGGGGGAUAUGGGGUCUAUGGGGCCCACCAAUGGGUUCUAUGGGGCGAUCUGGGGUCUAUGGGGCCCACCCAUGGGGUCUAUGGGGCCACCAAUGGGUUCUAUGGGGCGAUAUGGGGUCUAUGGGGCCACCCAUGGGUGCUAUGGGGGGAUAUGGGGUCUAUGGGGCUCACCUAUGGGGUCUAUGGGCCCACCCAUGGGUGCUAUGGGGCGAUAUGGGGUCUAUGGGGCCCAUUUAUGGGUUCUAUGGGGGGAUAUGGGGUCAGUGGGGGGAUAUGGGGUCAAUGGGGCCCAGCCAUGGGUGCUAUGGGGGAAUAUGGGGUCUAUGGGGCCGAUCAAUGGGGGCUAUGGGGUCUAUGGGGCCCAGCCAUGGGUGCUAUGGAGGGAUAUGGGGUCAGUGGGGGGAUAUGGGGUCAAUGGGGCCCAGCCAUGGGUGCUAUGGGGGGAUAUGGGGUCUAUGGGGCCGAUCAAUGGGGGCUAUGGGGGGCUAUGGGGCUGGAGGACUUAGGGUUAGGGGUUAUGGGGCUGUUUUGGGGUUGGUUGUGGGGUUUUAGGGGUCUAUUUGGGGUUUUGGGGCCGUUUUUGGGGCUGUUUGUGUGGGUUUUUGGGGUCUAUUGGGGGUUUUAGGGCUGUUUUGGGGGGGUUUGGGGCUGUUUUGGGGCCGUUUGUGUGGUUUUUGGGUUCUUUUUGUGGUUUUGGGGCCAUUUUUGGGGCCGUUUGUGUGGUUUUUGGGGUCCGUUUGGGGUUUUUGGGGCCAUUUUCGGGGUCUUUUUGUGGUUUUGGGGCCAUUUUUGGGUCAAUUUCUGUGGUUUUUUGGUCCAUUUCUCAUUUAUCCCCUCUCCCAGGUUCCCGGCAGCUGGUUCUGACCCAUUUGGAGCCAACAUUGAGCUGCAGCCGAUCCCUGUUGGGCCGGGCAGUGAAGGAGCUGCUGCACCCACUGCUGGAUGGGGUGACAAGGAGGAAUAGGGUGACCCCAUAGGGACACAUAGAGACCCAUAGAUACCCCAUAGGGACCCAUAGAGACCCAUUGAGACCCCAUUGAGAGCCAUUGAGACCCCAUAGGGACACACAGGGACCUGCUGCACCCGCUGCUGGAUGGGGUGACAAGGAGGAAUAGGGUGACCCCAUAGAGACCCCAUAGAGAUCCACUGAGACCCAUAGAUACCCAUAGAGACCCAUAGAGACCCAUAGAGACCCAUAGAGACCCAUAGAGAUCCAUAGGAGCCCAUAGAGACCCAUAGAGACCCCAUAGAGACNCCCAUAGAGACCCAUAGAGACCCAUAGAGAUCCAUAGGAGCCCAUAGAGACCCAUAGAGACCCCAUAGAGACACAUAGACCUCAUAGAGACCCACUGAGAUCCAUUGAGACCCAUUGAGACCCAUAGAGACCCAUAGAUACCCAUAGAGACCCAUUGAGAUCCAUUGAGACCCCAUAGAGACCCAUAGAGACCCCAUAGAGACCCCAUUGAGACCCAUUGAGACCCCAUAGAGACCCAUAGAGACCCAUAGGGAUCCAUAGGAGCCCAUAGGGACACACAGGGACCUGCUGCACCCACUGCUGGAUGGGGUGACAAGGAGGAAUAGGGUGACCCCAUAGAGACCCCAUAGAGACCCAUAGAGACCCAUUG
This is a long non-coding RNA of Coturnix japonica (Japanese quail), 1904 nucleotides long. Lineage: Eukaryota; Metazoa; Chordata; Aves; Galliformes; Phasianidae. The record is from Ensembl.